AAUUCUCAACCCCUUCAGCUUUUUGCUGGGUGGGGAUUGGAUGUGGGGGCUUGCGGGCUUCGAAUAGAGGUCGGCUCCCCUUAAAUGCAUUAGCGCGAACGUCUUUGCAGACCGUCACUUGGUGUGAUAAUUAUCUACGCCUCAUGGACUGGAAUGCUGGUUCUGCUUCUAACCGUCCAUUGACUUGGACAAACUUUUUGACA
This 203-nucleotide unclassified non-coding RNA is filed under the name uncultured Xeromphalina. RNAcentral describes it as "sequence contains ITS2". The record is from RNAcentral. Lineage: Eukaryota; Fungi; Basidiomycota; Agaricomycetes; Agaricales; Tricholomataceae.